Nerophis ophidion (straightnose pipefish) is the source of this 2427-nucleotide long non-coding RNA. RefSeq lists it as uncharacterized. Lineage: Eukaryota; Metazoa; Chordata; Actinopteri; Syngnathiformes; Syngnathidae. The record is from RefSeq and is a predicted model, not a curated record. The transcript is spliced from 3 exons.
CAGUAUGAAAAGCAUGUCACACCACAAGAAAAGCACAUUUAUCACAAACACAACAUUAGUGUCCCAGCACUCCAAGAGUACUUCCUUUAGUACCGUGUGUACAAUGUCUGAGUGCACUCAAAUGGAAGGAGUACUUAUUUCAGGUUGAGGUACUGAGGUAGAACAUCAUCCCAGAACUCUUCACCUCCAUGACCUUUGACCCCUGACUUUGGUCUCCCUGAUUUUUUCACACUUCUGACAUCAGCAGACUUUUUCUUUUUGACAACCUCUUCUUCUUCUUCUUCUUCUUCCUCUUCUUCUUCUUCCUCAUCUUGCUCACUUUCUUGCUCUUCUUUGCUCUCUUCCUCAUUUUCUUCUUCUUCGCCUUCAUCUUCUUUUUUGUCCUCUUCCUCAUCGUUUUCCUCUUCUUCGUCAUCUUCUUCAUUUUCUUCCUCCUCGCUCUGCUCUUCUUUUUCUGUCGUCUCCUCCUCCUCCUCCUCCUCCUCCUCCUCCUCUUCUUCUUCUUCUUCUUCUUCAGUUUCAUUGUCGCUUUCUGCUUCCUCAGAACAUUCCUCCUCUUCCUCCUCUUCCUCCCUGCCCUCCGAAGACACAGAAUCUUCUUCUUUGCUGUCCUUUUCUUCCUCACUUCCAUCAAUUUCAGACUCUUCCUCUUCACUCCCUGAUUCAUGGCUGGACUCUCCCUCAGUCUCUUCUGUGAUAGUCCCCCCUUGGCUAUCUUUCUUUCCAUUCUCACUUUCCCUUACAGAUGUUUCAUCCUCCUCUUCUUCUUCAUCUUCUUCUUCUUCUUCUUCUUGAGCACUUUCGCCUUCUUCUUCGUCGUCACUUCCUGACUUUUCAUCUGGUUGAAGAGUGUCGCUGUCAUCGUCAUCUGUCACUUUUUUCUGACUGACCUCCUCCUCCUCCUCCUCUUCACUUUCAUUAGUACAUGACUCCUUCUCGUCCUGGUCUUCGUCUUUCUCACUUGCAUCUGUAGUUGAUCCCUUCGCUUUCUCUUCUUCUUCUUCCUCGCUUGUAUCCGCACUUGAUCCUUUCCCUUUCUGCUCUUUCUCUUCCUCGCUCGUAUCCGCACUUGAUCCUUUCCCUUUCUGCUCUUUCUCUUCCUCGCUUGUAUCCGCACUUGAUCCUUUUCCUUUCUGCUCUUCGUCAUCUUCGCUCGUAUCCGCACUUGAUCCCUUUCCUUUCUGUUCGUCCUCUUCCUCACUUGCAUCUGUACUUGUCUGCCCAUAUUGGUCUUCCUCCUCCUGAUCCUGAGCAAGAGAGUCCUUCAUUUGUUGUCUUCCUCUUUGACUUUCCGUGGCAGGACUGCUGCUGAGGCUUUGGUUAGAUUUCCUGCCGGCUGAUGGGGUGACUGUGUCUGUGGUUCCUUGGUGGCUGCUCGGUGAGCUGAAUGCCGCGACCCCCUGGACUAAAGAAGCAGCUCCAGCAAAAGUGGCUUUGCAGUCUGGUUCCAGUUUCCUGUCAGCAUCAAUUUGCCGACUCCUGAAGGCCCCUGCCUGGAGCUGCUGUCUAGAUGGUGCCUUCCUGAUGUCCCUGGGCUUCUCAGAGGCUGUGAUAUGAUUCUCUUUGUUCUGCUUGGUCGUCAUCUGCUGGGAGUGACUGCUUGGGCUCCUCAGAAGCUUGGAACCAGAAGGCAAGAGGAUAGAAAAGAGGCAUGCAUGAGUGUUGUAUUGAAGUGCAGAAUAAUGGACAUCAAGUUUUAUACCUGAAGAAUAGGGUUCAGUGGUUCUCUUCUGGCUAAGGUAGUUAGCAUGCUACUAUGAAUUGCAACUAAUAAUACUAUGAAGAGCUGAUAGGUGACAGCUUACAAAACACUGUGGCUGUGUCUCAAUUCGUGCACUUACCCCUCACACUGAGAAGUACAGUAAAAUGCUGUGCACCGUCAGCACCCAGACAUUGCAACCAAAAUGGCCAACUUGGGAUGGGACUAAGUUGAAAUAACAAUAGCCUAUAGGAUCAACCCAUAGCACUGAGAAUUGGUGUACAAAAGGAACAGCAGAAGAAGUGGGUAAAUAUUUGAAUAAUCAUUUCCAGAAAGUUGCACAUUGACAGUGAUCGAUUAAGGACAGCACUAUACUGUCAACAUCUGCGCUCUUGGGAACAAAAUACACAGCAUACUUCUGGAAGUGUACUGACAAAUUUGAAUUAAGACACAGCCUUUAUGCAAAGAAUGAACAAGUGUUGCCUGGGGCCCAUGUAAGGCCCAGAGCUUGUUCUUUUGAUUGGCCUGUGACACAUUCUAAGAAUACAACUAACAAUUACUAUUAAACAGACAUAAUACAACUUAGAGAAUUUGUUAAAUGACUGAACUUACAAUACUAAUGAUAAUAUGCUUUGUCACCCAUAAAAUAUACACCUUUGGUUUUAGUGUUUAAAAUAAACUUGAAUAUCAAAAUGAUAACUGAAAUCUAGGAUUUUUCUGUAUGCAGA